UGGAUAAAUUAUUGUAUUCGACUGUAUUUACGGCGUGAAACAAGGGAUUAUACUAUUUUUAAAUGGAAAGUGAAUCAAUUAACUUAAUAGACACCU
Molecule: microRNA precursor, 96 nt
Filed under: Nicotiana sylvestris (wood tobacco)
Lineage: Eukaryota; Viridiplantae; Streptophyta; Magnoliopsida; Solanales; Solanaceae
Description: MIR6152 microRNA precursor family
Rfam family: MIR6152 microRNA precursor family
Source: Rfam by way of RNAcentral